This 3394-nucleotide long non-coding RNA is filed under the name Heterocephalus glaber (naked mole-rat). RNAcentral's name for it is "lncRNA (ENSHGLG00100036860.1)". The record is from RNAcentral. Lineage: Eukaryota; Metazoa; Chordata; Mammalia; Rodentia; Bathyergidae.
GAGUCAAGGAGGGGCCUCUCCCCAACACCUUUCUUCCAAACACCGCUUCUUCCCUACCUCCCUCCCUCCCCUGUGCUGCCAGCCCUCGGCCUGCUGCCCUGGGGACAGGAUUGCUCAGCAAGAAGGGCUCGAGCUGGACAGAGCUCCCGGCAGUGGAUUCAAACCUGUGUCAGCUAGCUCUGCCUCCUUGGGUGAGUUCCAGUCCCUCUGAGGCACCCUCUCCUCUUCUGUCAACUGGAGCUAUCCAGGCUGCCACUGCUUUCGCGGUGACGUGAGAUGAUUUGUGGGAAGCACUUAACUUAGUGGCUGACAUAUAGAAGGUGUUUAUCGCGGGAAAUGCGGUUGUGACUGAAUGAAUGGAAGCAGAGAAAUUCAGAGGACUUUCUGAAAUGAAGCUAUUGAAGAUGUACUUUGUUCUAAAAAACAAAAAUGGGGCUGUUGAAAAAUUGUGUGUCGUGGCCGGAGCCAAGAAUGCAAGCCCAGAGACUGGCUUGGAAGAUGACCUCAGCAGAAGUAUAAGGAGACCCUGAAGUGUGGCAGUGGCAGAGGGAACGAAGGAAGAACAUCUGAAUCAUCCCUACCAUUUGGGGGAGUAAAGUCAUUUUUCUUAUUAUAGCAUCUCUCCUCUUAUGAGGCUGGUAAGUCCAUGACCAGGAUGCUGAGAACUUAUUCUCUGGUGCAUAGCUGAUACCGUCUACAUUGUUGCAUCUCCACAUGGGAGAAGGGCUGUGUAGCUUUCUGAGGUGUCUUAUUAGUCACUUUCUCAAUGCUGAGACACAACACCUGGCAUCUCACAUCAACAGAGGACAGGUUUAUUUUGGCUCGAGUUUCAGUCCUUAGUUGGCUGGCCCCAAGGCAGGAGAGCAAGGGCAAAGGAGAGCUGCCCACACCAUGGCUCCAAUGAAAGAGAGAGGGGGGGAGUGGGCAGGGAGUGAGAUUAAGCCCUUCCAGACCCCCCACCCACCUCUUUUGACCAGACCCCACCUCCUAACAGAAAGCCAGCUCUAAGCCCUGUGAUCCAAUCACCCUCCAAAAGUCCCAUCCAUGAGCUGUGAAGCUCAUGGGAGACACUGAGACAAUAAACCAUGGCAUGGGGUCCCUUUCAUAAGCACUACAGUCCCAGGCAUGAGGGCUUUGCCUUCAGAACCUACUCCCUGGAGCAGAGCCCACCUCCUAGUAUCACCAAGGAACAGAGGAUUUCAACACACGAGUUGGGGGGAUGCAUCCAGAUGGUGAAGGUGGAGGUUACAGAGCUGAGAAUGUCGGAGGAAAAACAGUUGUGUGUACGUCUAAGGAAAACAGUUGAGGCAGGAGCCCCAGAGACAGUGGAGGCGGAUGCCUCACAAAUAGGCUGGGGACAGCAGCCCAGUCCCCCACUAGUAGCCCAGCCUCCUGCUUCUCGUAUGCAGGUGAGAAGACCCCAACGGAUGAGAGCAGUCUGGGUGGAAACUUUGCCCACCUUGGAAUUCACCAGGAGCAUCCCUGGUUCCCCGCUCGCCUGCCUGAGCCACAGAACUUCCACAAUUCAGAGCAUCUGUGGUUACCUCGGUCAUGCAAGCCAAGAAUCCUCCUGGUUUCUCCGAAGUUUGAGUUCUGGGAAGCAGAACUGAGGAUGGGGGACUGUGCAGCCUUUUAAAACAGCCCCUAAGAAGCAUUGACACAUCAAUCUGUGCCCCCGAUGUCAGCCCUCGGUGUCUCCAGGCUUAAGGAUGAAGCUGCAUACUCACACCUAAGCCUCACAGAGCCAGUGAGAGAAGCAGAAAUAGAAGAACAGCAUCCCUCAGGCCAAUUUCAGAACGAGAUGCAUGUAUGCGGGUGGAGGGAGCAGGAGGAGGACUACAGAUCUGAUUUCAAAACCAUAAAAGAAAGAGAGGUCUUCACAAAAGGUUUCUUAAGAAGGCAAAACGAUGCCCCAUCAAAUAUCAGGAGGCAAGACCUCUAAAUAUCUGCUGACAACAUCCUUUCUGCAAAAUUCUCAUCAGGCAGCCUCCCACAUCCCCACACAGCUCUACCCAACAUCCAUCCUCCCCUUUCCCCAGACUCUUAUGUCUCCCUUAAUUUUACUGUUGUAGAAAAAAAUAUGUAAUUCUCUUAGUGUCUCCAAAAGGUGUGAGAAAGAAAGUGGGAAGCUACCCCCAAAAUAAAUAAAAUCAAGACAACUCAGCACAUGGAUCAUCCCCCGGCGGGCCUCCUCAGACUCAGAGUCACCCCACUGACAGAUGAGAAACAGUCUCAGAGGAAACCUGACUCGCUACAAGGCCACUGGCAAGUAUGAGUCCCGACUCGGAAGAGGCCUUCUGCCUUCAGCCACAUCUGGCCCCCAGGCCGCCAGAGGCUGGAAACCCAUCAAACUGCCAGAGACACCAGCGCAGCUGUUGCCCUGGGGUGAGACUCGGAAGCUCUGUCCAGGAAACCAAGGUCACCAGCCAUGGAGGAAACACAAGCCUUCAGGGACCCCGGGGAAGCAGAGAUGCUUGUAAUCUGUCCUCUCAAAAAGAUUCGGGACAUUGGGUUCCCUCAAGGGACUUUUACCAGAGCCGAAGUGGAAGCAGGCACCCGGUGUUCAUGCAUAGGAAUGACUGCCAGGAUGACCUGCAGACAGGGCCAAGGCUUUGUGCAAGAGGGCGUGUGGGCCAGUGAGAGGUCUCUGCCACUGAGAAUGGUCUGACCGACAUGCUGUGCCUUCUUGCUGACUCUGGGUCUGGUCCCGGGGUAGCCUGUCCCAUGCUUCUUGCCUGUGGUCUCACCACCGGACUCUGGAGACAGAUGCUUGGGGCAUAUUUGAUCCCCAAAUGGAUGUGUUCCUGGAUUCCAAAGUCAAAGUUUGCUGUAACUCAGAAGCUGUUUUCUGCUGUGUUUUUUAAACUCAUACUCUGCACCCUUAGACCUUUCUCUGGGAUUUCCUUCUGCCUCGGCCUCAUGGACUGUGCCGUUGAGAGCAAUCAUCUCAUUUCUCUCAAGGCCAAAGGAUCUGACUGUGUCGCUCUGGAAGACACCGGGAUCUGGACUGUGAGCUGCUCCCGCACCUAGGCUGCUGUGCUCUGUCUGUCUCCACUUCCCACCCCAGGGUGAUGCUGAAGCCCACUUUCCUCCCACACAAGGUUCUCCUUUUUAUCUGAUCCACCUCACUGCAGCUCCCACAGCACCACUGAGCCCUUUGGGCAGCUUCUCAGAGCCAGAUCCCAGAGGACAGUGCGGGAGGUGACAGGGUCCAGCCCCAGCAUUGCAGGUUCUCGGUCCUCCUUGGAUCACAAGUGAGGCUACACCCCGGGUGUCCAGGCUGUGGAGGAAACUGAUGAAGGGAAACAAAACUUGGGUCUUAGCCACUUACCACCAUGAUCCAGUCUCAUGUUUUAAAAGUCCAUUUUAAUAUCCUUUCCCCCUUGAUUUUCCA